This 427-nucleotide ribosomal RNA is filed under the name uncultured bacterium. RNAcentral's name for it is "partial 16S ribosomal RNA". It matches the Rfam family "Bacterial small subunit ribosomal RNA", at positions 355 to 774 of the family's 1533-position model. The record is from RNAcentral.
UGGGGAAUAUUGCACAAUGGGCGCAAGCCUGAUGCAGCCAUGCCGCGUGUAUGAAGAAGGCCUUCGGGUUGUAAAGUACUUUCAGCGGGGAGGAAGGCGAUAAGGUUAAUAACCUUGUCGAUUGACGUUACCCGCAGAAGAAGCACCGGCUAACUCCGUGCAAGCAGCCGCGGGAAUACGGAGGGUGCAAGCGAUAAUCGGAAUUACUGGGCGUAAAGCGCACGCAGGCGGUCUGUCAAGUCGGAUGUGAAAUCCCCGGGCUCAACCUGGGAACUGCAUUCGAAACUGGCAGGCUAGAGUCUUGUAGAGGGGGGUAGAAUUCCAGGUGUAGCGGUGAAAUGCGUAGAGAUCUGGAGGAAUACCGGUGGCGAAGGCGGCCCCCUGGACAAAGACUGACGCUCAGGUGCGAAAGCGUGGGGAGCAAACA